RNAcentral lists this ribosomal RNA (1243 nucleotides) under metagenome. Its description in RNAcentral is "bacterial LSU rRNA". It matches the Rfam family "Bacterial large subunit ribosomal RNA", at positions 1564 to 2817 of the family's 2925-position model. The record is from RNAcentral.
UGAAUACGAGAUGCUACGGCGUCGAAGCAGUCUAUGUCAUACUUCCAAGAAAAGCUUGCACUGUCAUAAACAAAUAAUGCCUGUACCAUAACCGACACAGGUGGGUAGGUAGAGUAUACUAAGGGGCGCGAGAUAACUCUCUCUAAGGAACUCGGCAAAAUGACUCCGUAACUUCGGGAGAAGGAGUGCCUUAUUUAUAAGGUUGCAAUAACAAGAUCCAAGCAACUGUUUACCAAAAACACAGGUCUCCGCUAAGUCGUAAGACGAUGUAUGGGGGCUGACGCCUGCCCAGUGCCAGAAGGUUAAAGAAGUUGGUUAGCAUCCGCGAAGCUGAUAACUGAAGCCCUGGUGAACGGCGGCCGUAACAAUAACGGUCCUAAGGUAGCGAAAUUCCUUGUCGGGUAAGUUCCGACCCGCACGAAAGGCGUAAUGAUUUGGAUACUGUCUCGGAGAGGGGCUCGGUGAAAUAGACUUGUCUGUGAAGAUGCGGACUACCUGCACCAGGACAGAAAGGCCCUAUGAAGCUUUACUGUAACCUGAAAUUGAAAUUGGACUUUACUUGCGCAGUAUAGGUGGGAGGCGUUGAGAAUAUUCUUGCGGGAUUAUUGGAGCCAUCAGUGAGAUACCACUCUUGUAAUGUUAGAUUUCUAACUUUGUAUCAUUAUCUGGUCAAAGAACAGUUUCAGGCGGGCAGUUUGACUGGGGCGGUCGCCUCCUAAACGGUAACGGAGGCGCACAAAGGUUUCCUCUGAACGGGUAGAAAUCGUAUCUAGAGUGUAAAGGCAUAAGGAAGCUUGACUGUGAGACCUACAAGUCGAGCAGGGACGAAAGUCGGUCUUAGUGAUCUGACGGUGCUGAGUGGAAAGGCCGUCACUCAACGGAUAAAAGUUACUCUAGGAUAACAGGCUGAUCUCCCCCAAGAGUUCACAUCGACGGGGAGGUUUGGCACCUCGAUGUCGGCUCAUCGCAUCCUGGGGCGGUAGUACGUCCCAAGGGUUGGGCUGUUCGCCCAUGAAAGCGGUACGCGAGCUGGGUUCAGAACGUCGUGAGACAGUUCGGUCCAUAUCCGGUGUAGGCGUUAGAAUAUUGAGAGGAGCCUUCUUUAGUACGAGAGGACCGAGAAGGACAUACCUCUGGUGUACCAGUUAUCGUGCCAACGGUAAACGCUGGGUAGCUAUGUGUGGAGUGGAUAACCGCUGAAAGCAUCUAAGUGGGAAGCCCACCUCAAGAUAAGUAUUCUCAU